GAUGAACGCUGGCAGCAUGCUUAACACAUGCAAGUCAACCGGAAUUUGGGUUUUUACCUUUGGUUUGGGUGGCGGACGGGUGAGUAACGCGUAAAGAACUUGCCUCACAGCUAGGGUCAACAUUUGGAAACGAAUGCUAAUACCUAAUAUUAUGAUAAUAGGACAUCCUAUAUUUAUGAAAGCUAUAAGCGCUGUUAGAGAGCGUUGCGUCCAAUUAGCUAGUUGGCAAGGUAACGGCUCACCAAGGCGACGAUGGGUAGCCGGCCUGGGAGGGUGAUCGGCCACAAGGGGACAGGGGAACGGCCCGUAGGCAAUCUGGAGGCAGGGGUGAAGAAUAGUGGAAGAUGGGCCAAGAGUGUGAUGAAGCAAUUCUGUGUGCAAGAUGAUGUUUUUCGGAAUGAAAAGUGGUUUCAGUUGGGAAGAAAGUAAUGACGGUACCAACAGAAGAAGCGACGGCUAACUACGUG
RNAcentral lists this ribosomal RNA (467 nucleotides) under uncultured bacterium. RNAcentral describes it as "partial 16S ribosomal RNA". It matches the Rfam family "Bacterial small subunit ribosomal RNA", at positions 28 to 507 of the family's 1533-position model. The record is from RNAcentral.